GUGUCCUCCCCCCUCCUCCCCGACCCCGGUUCCAACCCUAGCCGCCCCUACCUCUCCUCGCGACACAACAGCGCCGCCCUCCCCCUCGCUCCCUCGAUCUGCCCUGCCGCCGGCCACCCUCCUUUCUGUCUCCACCCGCCGCACCCCCCAGCACCAUCUCCCUUGCUGCAGCCCGCCGCCUUCCCCCUCUGCAGCGGCCCCCAUGCCGCCCCUGCACCUCCCCGGCGAGUCCCCACGCCGCCCUUGCGUCUCCCGCGGCAAGUCCCCGCGUCGCCGCUGCUCCUGCCCGCCGGAUCCGCCGCGCGUAGGGAGUAGGAGCAGGACCCUCGUGGGGAGCAGCUGGACCACGCCUCUGACAACACCGGCGCCAUGGUCCUCGCGGCCGCAGCCGCACUCUACGCUCAGCGGGGCCAGAAGCACGACGACGACUUCUACACGGCUACCUGCACCUCUUCCGCCUUUGACUGCCACCAUGAUUAAUCCCAUGUGCCCUCUUUUUUUCCCCAUCGUGAAUCCCUAAAUCCCUAGAUGUUGGUGUUUUUUUUUUGCUGCAUCUGAUCUGAAAAUGAAUGUAAAACAUGCGUGUUUGGACAUUGGAGAAUAUGCAGGGCUUUUCAUCUAGACAUGGCGGCAGUAGAGUGUUCUAAUGAAUGUAUAUCUCCUAUAUCUUGUAUGUAGAGAUUUGCUCUCUGGUGCUUAUAAGAAAUUAGAGUAAAGAGAGAAAUUCACAUUUUUUCAGGUAGUGGGGAAAAUAGGUUAGUAGAUAUCACACAAAGGCGUACUGAUUUUCUGCUUUAUUGCCUGUUCAUUUUGCUCAAUUUUACUUGACCCCCUUUUCGCUAUUGCUAUAAAUGCAGGAUACAGUUUUGGAACUGGAAUUUCAAGGGAUCAAAAGCAGUUCACUAUGCUCCGGACAUGGCCUGUGCGCUCACCAAGGCCUGUUGCAUCAAAGCUUGCUGCUGAUACACCUCUCUUAACAGGACAGCGUGUGCUCGAUGCAUUGUUUCCCUCAGUGCUUGGAGGGACAUGUGCUAUUCCUGGGGCGUUUGGUUGUGGAAAAACUUUCAUUAGUCAGGCAGUUUCAAAGUAUUCCAAUUCUGAAGCUGUGGUUUGAGGGCUGUUGGGAACGAGGGAAUGAGAUGGCUGACCUUAUGGAUUUCCCUCAAUUGACAAUGACAUUGAAGGAUGGACGUGAAGAAUCUGUCAUUAAAAGAACAACUCUUGUGGCUAACACCUCAAACAUGGCUGUUGCUGCUCGUGAAGCUACCAUUUAUAUAGAUUUGCUUGCGUAUGGAGUUUGAGGAUGCAGGAAUUUUCUGCUCCUAUAUAUGUACCUAAACACUAAGCUGCUGUGCUUCGGUGGAUCACCCAAUGCAAGGAGUCUAAGCACUCGUGGAUCAGGGGAGGGAGGCAGUUCGGGAGCCCAAUUUUGUAGCUACAUGAGGGUGGCAGGUGUGGUUCCAUCUCAACUUCUGGGCUCGCAGUUGCAGCACCAACAAAAUCAAGCGCUUCUUCACUGAGGCGCACUACAAGCCGUCCUCCGACACCAUCAAAGACCCAAAACCAACUCCCAUCGUCGAAAUAUACACCAUCAUUGAAGAGCCGCUUUCCCAGUACAGGAGGACCUGUGCAUUUUGUUCUGCCAGUUGCGACAUUCUGCACCCGAAGGGGUGCUGCAAGUUUGUUUGUGGCAACGACAAGGAUCGGAUAGGACAACGCCUUGUGCAGUUUGGGUCUGCCUUGAGUUGCCAUUCACUUGCCCCCUCCCGACGGGAAGCCAGGCCCGGUCCUGAGAUUUAUAGGGCUUGGGGCGAAACUAAAGCACCGGAGCCCUUCUAUGUUUAAAAUCGUUGAUUAUUGGAGUAAUGUAUAGAAAUCUCGAGAAAUUUUACAAUAAUUGAAAAAAUAGAAGUCGAUCUGGUAAAAAUCUACGAUGGUGAAGGUGCUGGCUUGCUGGUCUGCUGCCUGCUGGAAUCGGACACUGCUGACGAAGAAGCCACCGGAGAGAAUUGGAGAGCGCAAACACGGACGGACGGCGAUCACGGAGACGACGCGCACGUAUCGUUUCAUUCGCUCGGGCUCUACACAGCGACAUGACAGCGCGGCCCCAUUG
Panicum virgatum (switchgrass) is the source of this 2113-nucleotide long non-coding RNA. RefSeq lists it as uncharacterized. Lineage: Eukaryota; Viridiplantae; Streptophyta; Magnoliopsida; Poales; Poaceae. The transcript is spliced from 8 exons. The record is from RefSeq and is a predicted model, not a curated record.